Molecule: ribosomal RNA, 466 nt
Filed under: uncultured bacterium
Lineage: Bacteria
Description: partial 16S ribosomal RNA
Rfam family: Bacterial small subunit ribosomal RNA
Source: RNAcentral
GAUGAACGCUGGCGGCGUGCUUAACACAUACAAGUCGAACGGAAAGGCCACAGCUUGCUGUGGUACUCGAGUGGCGAACGGGUGAGUAACACGUGGGUGAUCUGCCCUGUACUUCGGGAUAAGCUUGGGAAACUGGGUCUAAUACCGGAUAGGAAUCACAUGUGGGUGUGUGGUUGGAAAGCUUUUGCGGUAUGGGAUGAGCUCGCGGCCUAUCAGCUUGUUGGUGGGGUAAUGGCCUACCAAGGCGUCGACGGGUAGCCGGCCUGAGAGGGUGUACGGCCACAUUGGGACUGAGAUACGGCCCAGACUCCUACGGGAGGCAGCAGUGGGGAAUAUUGCACAAUGGGCGCAAGCCUGAUGCAGCGACGCCGCGUGGGGGAUGACGGCCUUCGGGUUGUAAACUCCUUUCGUCAGGGACGAAGCGAAAGUGACGGUACCUGGAUAAGAAGCACCGGCUAACUACGUG